This is a long non-coding RNA of Oncorhynchus tshawytscha (Chinook salmon), 2060 nucleotides long. RefSeq lists it as uncharacterized. Lineage: Eukaryota; Metazoa; Chordata; Actinopteri; Salmoniformes; Salmonidae. The record is from RefSeq and is a predicted model, not a curated record. The transcript has 3 exons.
AAAAGACGUCACAGCUCCGCGGAUGCACGUUCAGGUCAUUCUGCGCAGACUCUGCGCCUUCGUGUCACAUGAUUCAAAACGAAGGGAGAACAUGCCUGCUGAGGUGGUACGGAACGCCGCCAUGUGGAGAUUUGAAACUCCCCGCUUUUUGGUCAUGCUGGUGAGCAUCCAUUCGUUUUCAGAAACUUCACUGGAGGACAGUAGUGAGUGACCAACCCUCCACAACCAACUUGCCAGUCUGUGAGAUCUGUACACAAGGUAUCCAUCGAGUCCCCCUGCCUCCCACCGUCCUCUUCAGUGCCAUGACAGGUAGGACCGAUGAUGUAGCGGUAGUCUCCACCGACAGCCAGAGCUGCCCCAGAAGACACCAUGAGCCAGUCUUUCUCAUCCUCCUCCAUCCCCACACACUGCCAGGGCAUUCCUGACCAGAAGGGGUCCUUCCUUGGGCCCAGUGCCCCUGCCCCCUGCUCCCCCUUGUCAUUCUCCAGGUUAACGUAGAGAAGGGCCUCCUUAAUGCAGCUAGGCACUGGGGAUAGGCUGGCCCACAGCCCCUCCAGCUGGUCAAUCAGGUGCAGGAAACUGGGGCGGCACUUGGGAACAGGGCUCCAGCAGCUAUGCAUGAUCUCAUAACUGGGAAAAGAGAGGGAGAGGACUUGAACUGUCAGGUCGUUCUUGUAAAGUAAUGUGUUCUCAAUGUGUUACCUGGUUAAAUAGGCAGUAAAAUAUACAAACUCAUGAUUAAAUCAUUUUCAUUAAUCUGGCCCCAAUGAUGAUAGAUUGUUUUAGUCAUUUUAAAAGUAUAGCACUGAUCCCAUCAGUUCUGAUGAAGGCCUUGCAGGCUGAUUUUCAACGCCAGAGAAUUUUCUAUCAGACCCAGUGGACGACUCACAUGUCGUCUCGGCAGUCAGGUGGCUGUUUGAGCCUCUCUCCCUUGAUGAGGUACUCGUAGAUUUCGGAGUUCUCCACCCCGGGAUAAGGGGUCUGUCCCCGUGCCAUGAUCUCCCACAUGGUGACUCCAAACGCCCACUGUGGGGAAAACAGAGUCAGUCAAUUAACUUCCGGGGCCACUAAAAAGGCAAAAAUAAGGAAUUGACAGUUCCAAAAACAUAAUCAACAUAUCUAUUAAACAGGGACUCAGUCAGUGAACUUCUGUGGCCACUACAUCGUUUAAAAAUUCGAAAAUUAAAUUGAUUGGUCUGGAAACAAAAUCAACAUCUUAUCCACGAUGCAUUGAAUUGCAUUACAAAACACAAAUGUAAUCCUUUUCACAAAGAGGAUUUCAAGAUGGGGAUCCCGAACUGAAAUAUUCCCGCCCUACAGUGUCACCAUCAUUUAGAAAGUGAAGAUACGAGUUUGUGUGUACUGUGACCACUAUGAGGGUGCUUCCAUCUUUGUAUAUACCACAUCACUCUGAGUAGUGUAGACAUUGUCAGCAAGGCUCUCCAGUGCUAUCCACUUGACAGGCAGCUUUGAGACAGAUCCUUGUCUGUAGUAGUCGCCACUGUAGAUUUUCUUUGACAGCCCAAAGUCUGCCACGCAGACUGUCAGGUUUUCACUAAGCCUAUGAACAAAGGAGAGGAGAUGGUCACAAUCUAACCCACAGGCAAGAUAACGCUCUAGUAAAUUCAGUGUAAACUAUAUCAGAGGGAGUCCCAGUUAGGAAAGAGUAAAGUGACGGGUUGCUGUCUCAAAUGUUGCCAUAUUCCCCAUUUAGUACACUAGUUUUGACCAGGGCCCUACAGAGAAUAGGGUGCCAUUUGGGACAAAGCCACAGUCUGCUGUGCUCGUAGAUUCUCACAUGCAGUUGCGCGCAGCCAGAUCUCUGUGUAUGAUGCUUUUGUUGCUCAGGUACGCCAUUCCACGAGCGAUGUCCAACAUGAACUGUAUGAGCAUCUGCAGUGACACGGUCUGUGUAAGGGAGAGACAGCAACAUUUUGCUAAAACAUGAUUUGAACCUAUACAAAAAGUCUACUAUGAAAAUAAAUAAUAAUUUGGGCCCACAGGUCAACCUUGUCUUUCCUCUAGUUCCAUAACAUGAAAUAAAGAAAUUAUUUAAAACA